GACCGCUCCGUUGGCCUAGUGGUUAGAACGUCCGCCUCAUAUGCGUGAGGUCAUAUGUUCGAUCCCCGUUCGAGUCA
Non-coding RNA from Potamilus streckersoni, 77 nucleotides. The record is from the annotation of a GenBank genome assembly. Lineage: Eukaryota; Metazoa; Mollusca; Bivalvia; Unionida; Unionidae.